Non-coding RNA from Sesamum indicum (sesame), 159 nucleotides. The record is from RefSeq and is a predicted model, not a curated record. Lineage: Eukaryota; Viridiplantae; Streptophyta; Magnoliopsida; Lamiales; Pedaliaceae.
CAAAACCGCACUUUCCCCUUUCUCUCUCCUCCCUCAUCCCGAGGAGAGAGAGGAGAAAAGAAAAUCAAACAGCACCAUUUUCAUAUCCCAACCCUGAGAUCUCCCUCCCAUUGCCUCUCAGGUAAUCUCCCAAGUGAUCCGAUCUCAUCCUUGAUAAAG